RNAcentral lists this transfer RNA (67 nucleotides) under Pelagomacellicephala iliffei. RNAcentral describes it as "tRNA-Lys". Lineage: Eukaryota; Metazoa; Annelida; Polychaeta; Phyllodocida; Polynoidae. The record is from RNAcentral.
CACCAAGCAGCUACAAUAGCCUUAGUCUUUUAAACUAAUAAUAAUAUUAAUAUAAUAUUCUUGGUAC